CUCGCACUAGUACCCCGCCUGCUGUUUACUAGCUGUGUGGCCUCGGGCCUCAGUUUCCUCACCAGUCAGACGGAAGGGCUCAGUUAGAUCACCUCCGAGACCUCCUCCAGCUCUGAGACGUGGCAGGGCAGGCUGUGAGACGGGGUGUGUGCGCUCAUCUGCAGAGUAGCCUCCGCCCCAGGGCUCGGUCCAGCUCAAGUGCUGGUUGAAUGGAUUGUAAGUAGAAGGUGUAGCAGCCCCAGUGGGGGAGAGCCAGCAGCGCUGGGGGAUGACAAGAGGCCUCCGUGGGGUAGAUGCUGACUUGCUAGACAAGCAAGCAACAGAGAAACCACGCGGAGACCGGUGGAGCCCUCACUGUUACGGACGUUGGUGGGAAAGAUAACGUCAGACAAACCUGAUCUUCGUUCCUGAUAGAAUUUUAAGGAAAGGAGACUAAGGAGCCAGAAGAAAUCGAGCUGUGCCCUUAAGACUGUGCCUGAGGGCUCCUUCGCACCCCUGCGAUGCUUCACACAGCUUCUGGGAUGUCCUCUGCUGGUCUUCAGUCACCACGUGAUUAAAGGAGAACGUGGCUCCCGGUCGCAUUCAUGGCUAUGGCAGCUCCUCAGAGGGGAGGAGCUGCUGGUCACACAGCACCGCCGACGCUGCCCGGCAUCCUAAGCUUCCACAUACAUGUCAGGCAUUUUUUUUACAAUCUCGAAAUGUUACCAGUGGAGGAGGUUUUAAAGAUUCUGUGGUCUAAUCCACUAAUUUCACAGAAGAGAAAACAGAGGCUUACUGAGAUUUAAAGGAUGUGCCUGGGGGGUAGCUAGCUGUCUGUGGCGGGGCCAGGACCAGAAUUCAGUUCUCUCUGUGCAGUUCGUUGUUUUUCUGGCUUUGUGUGUAAAGGAAAACAUAUAAAUCCUAGUAACUGCCUCUGUGUGG
Long non-coding RNA from Camelus dromedarius (Arabian camel), 921 nucleotides. RefSeq lists it as uncharacterized. The record is from RefSeq and is a predicted model, not a curated record. The transcript is spliced from 3 exons. NCBI's taxonomy places the organism in Eukaryota, Metazoa, Chordata, Mammalia, Artiodactyla, Camelidae.